CACGCCGUAAACGUUGAGAACUAAGUGUUGGGGAGACCCAGUGCUGAAGCUAACGCAUUAAGUUCUCCGCCUGAGGAGUACGCACGCAAGUGUAAAACUUAAAGGAAUUGACGGGGGCCCGCACAGGCAGUGGAGCAUGUGGUUUAAUUCGAGGCUACGCGAAGAACCUUACCAGGGCUUGACAGGAAACUUAAGACCCUAGAGAUAGGGGGAUAAUAAGUGAAACAGGUGG
Molecule: ribosomal RNA, 232 nt
Filed under: uncultured bacterium
Lineage: Bacteria
Description: partial 16S ribosomal RNA
Rfam family: Bacterial small subunit ribosomal RNA
Source: RNAcentral